This 216-nucleotide long non-coding RNA is filed under the name Physcomitrium patens. Its description in RNAcentral is "long non-coding RNA (PPAT_LNC004753)". Lineage: Eukaryota; Viridiplantae; Streptophyta; Bryopsida; Funariales; Funariaceae. The record is from RNAcentral.
AUUUUGGCUUUGAUAAAUAGAUUUUUAAAAAUUGAGUUACUAUCAUUACUUGAAUUUUUUCUCUCUAGCCAAAUCUUUCUUCUUAAUAUCUUUCAAAUAAUUGAUUAUUGCAUGCAAUGAUUUGAAUAAUAAAUUGUUCCAAAGAAUGUACUUUUGGCAUUGUUAAUAACAUAUCCUUGAUGUUAUCUUUUAAUCCAUAUCAAAAUUAAUUGAUAA